AGAGUUUGAUUAUGGCUCAGAACGUACGCUGGCGGCACGCCUAACACAUGCAAGUCGAACGAAGUAGCAAUACUUAGUGGCAGACGGGUGAGUAACAUGUGGGUAUCUGCCCUUUGGCCUGGAAUAACACGAGGAAACUUGUGCUAAUACCGGAUAAGUCUUUACGGAGAAAGCUUUAUGCACCAUUGGAUGAGCCUGCACUUGAUUAGUUUGUUGGUGGGGUAAUGGCCCACCAAGACUAUGAUCAAUAGCUGAUUUGAGAGGAUGAUCAGCCACAUUGGGACUGAGACACGGCCCAAACUCCUACGGGAGGCAGCAGUGGGGAAUCUUGCACAAUGGAGGAAACUCUGAUGCAGCGAUGCCGCGUGAGUGAAGAAGGCCCUUGGGUUGUAAAGCUCUUUCGUCGGGGAAGAAAAUGACUGUACCCGAAUAAGAAGGUCCGGCUAACUUCGUGCCAGCAGCCGCGGUAAUACGAAGGGACCUAGCGUAGUUCGGAAUUACUGGGCUUAAAGAGUUCGUAGGUGGUUGAAAAAGUUGGUGGUGAAAUCCCAGAGCUUAACUCUGGAACUGCCAUCAAAACUUUUCAGCUAGAGUAUGAUAGAGGAAAGCAGAAUUUCUAGUGUAGAGGUGAAAUUCGUAGAUAUUAGAAAGAAUACCAAUUGCGAAGGCAGCUUUCUGGAUCAUUACUGACACUGAGGAACGAAAGCAUGGGUAGCGAAGAGGAUUAGAUACCCUCGUGGUCCAUGCCGUAAACGAUGUGUGUUAGACGUUGGAAAUUUAUUUUCAGUGUCGCAGCGAAAGCGAUAAACACACCGCCUGGGGAGUACGACCGCAAGGUUAAAACUCAAAUGAAUUGACGGGGACCCGCACAAGUAGUGGAGCAUGUGGUUUAAUUCGAAGAUACGCGCAGAACCUUACCAACACUUGACAUGUUCGUCGCGACUCUAAGAGAUUAGAGUUUUCGGUUCGGCCGGACGAAACACAGGUGCUGCAUGGCUGUCGUCAGCUCGUGUCGUGAGAUGUUGGGUUAAGUCCCGCAACGAGCGCAACCCUCACUUUUAGUUGCCAUCAUUAAGUUGGGCACUCUGAAAGAACUGCCAGUGAUAAGCUGGAGGAAGGUGGGGAUGACGUCAAGUCCUCAUGGCCCUUACGUGUUGGGCUACACACGUGCUACAAUGGUAUCUACAACAGGAAGCAAAACGGCAACGUUAAGCAAAUCCCGAAAAGAUACCUCAGUUCGGAUUGCACUCUGCAACUCGAGUGCAUGAAGCUGGAAUUACUAGUAAUCGUGGAUCAGCGUGCCACGGUGAAUGCGUUCCCGGGUCUUGUACACACCGCCCGUCACACCAUGGGAGUUGGUUCUACCUUAAGGCAAGGUUUUAAACCCUUGACCACGGUAUAGUCAGCGACUGGGGUGAAGUCGUAACAAGGUA
This 1433-nucleotide ribosomal RNA is filed under the name uncultured bacterium. RNAcentral describes it as "bacterial SSU rRNA". It matches the Rfam family "Bacterial small subunit ribosomal RNA". The record is from RNAcentral.